Vulpes vulpes (red fox) is the source of this 107-nucleotide small nuclear RNA. The record is from Ensembl. Lineage: Eukaryota; Metazoa; Chordata; Mammalia; Carnivora; Canidae.
GUGCUUGUUUCAGUAGUACAUAUACUAAAAUUGAAACAAUACAGAGAAGGUUAGCACAGCCCCCACCUAAGGAUGGCAUGCAAGUUCAUCAAGUGUUCCAUAUUAAU